GAUUAGAGUUUGAUCCUGGCUCAGAUUGAACGCUGGCGGCAUGCUUUACACAUGCAAGUCGAACGGUAACAGGGAGCUUGCUCCGCUGACGAGUGGCGAACGGGUGAGUAAUGCAUCGGAACGUACCCAGUCGUGGGGGAUAACGUAGCGAAAGUUACGCUAAUACCGCAUACGUCCUGAGGGAGAAAGCGGGGGGCCGAAAGGCCUCGCGCGAUUGGAGCGGCCGAUGUCGGAUUAGCUAGUUGGUAGGGUAAAGGCCUACCAAGGCGACGAUCCGUAGCGGGUCUGAGAGGAUGAUCCGCCACACUGGGACUGAGACACGGCCCAGACUCCUACGGGAGGCAGCAGUGGGGAAUUUUGGACAAUGGGCGCAAGCCUGAUCCAGCCAUGCCGCGUGAGUGAAGAAGGCCUUCGGGUUGUAAAGCUCUUUCAGGUGGAAAGAAAACGCAUGGGUCAAUACCCUGUGUGGAUGACGGUACCAUCAGAAGAAGCACCGGCUAACUACGUGCCAGCAGCCGCGGUAAUAAU
Molecule: ribosomal RNA, 528 nt
Filed under: uncultured bacterium
Lineage: Bacteria
Description: bacterial SSU rRNA
Rfam family: Bacterial small subunit ribosomal RNA
Source: RNAcentral